CUUUAAAGCAUCGGCACACAGCACACCAGCAUUUUGGAAGAAGGGUGAGGUGAUAGGAGAAAGGGAAACAUAUAAUACAUUUCUAAGUGGCAGCAUAGGAGAAAGACUCGUGAAUGGAGUUGUCACGGAGCAACAGACUCUUGGCACAAUGGCUCGCUUCCUCCGAACACCGCUCGUUUGGUCAGACGCCCUUUCCUGGGGCACGCCCGGUGGAGGAAACGAGGGCAGCAUCAAGAGAGAAGUGAUUGUUUUAUGAAUGGGAACUAUUAAUAGAGUCUGGCCGAAGAUA
This is a long non-coding RNA of Nerophis lumbriciformis (worm pipefish), 289 nucleotides long. RefSeq lists it as uncharacterized. Lineage: Eukaryota; Metazoa; Chordata; Actinopteri; Syngnathiformes; Syngnathidae. The record is from RefSeq and is a predicted model, not a curated record.